RNAcentral lists this long non-coding RNA (205 nucleotides) under Lathyrus oleraceus (garden pea). RNAcentral describes it as "Pisum sativum (pea) long non-coding RNA (PSAT_LNC040140)". Lineage: Eukaryota; Viridiplantae; Streptophyta; Magnoliopsida; Fabales; Fabaceae. The record is from RNAcentral.
UCAAUUCCAAAAGGUAUUCUACCCCCUUGAUUCCAGUCUCACAUCAGGUGGGUAGUGCAAGAAGGCCGAGUCAUGGAUAAACUUCUGAGAUCAAGAUGUAAUAAAGGGAAACCAUCAUACAAAUGAGUUCAAGGAAAGGGCCUUAGCCGAAAAAAUACAUCAAAGGAGGAUCUCCACAACAAGCCUGUGGAUCAUCACUACACAG